Molecule: non-coding RNA, 27 nt
Filed under: Homo sapiens (human)
Lineage: Eukaryota; Metazoa; Chordata; Mammalia; Primates; Hominidae
Source: RNAcentral
CUGGGCAAAGUCAGCUUCUAAAUUGAC